ACGAACGCUGGCGGCGUGCUUAACACAUGCAAGUCGAACGGAAAGGCCCUGCUUUUGUGGGGUGCUCGAGUGGCGAACGGGUGAGUAACACGUGAGUAACCUGCCCUUGACUUUGGGAUAACUUCAGGAAACUGGGGCUAAUACCGGAUAGGAGCUCCUGCUGCAUGGUGGGGGUUGGAAAGUUUCGGCGGUUGGGGAUGGACUCGCGGCUUAUCAGCUUGUUGGGGGGGUAGUGGCUUACCAAGGCUUUGACGGGUAGCCGGCCUGAGAGGGUGACCGGCCCCAUUGGGGCUGGGAUACCGCCCCGACCCCCACGGGGGGCAGGCGGGGGGAAUUUUGCAAAAUGGGGGGGAGCCCGAGGGCAGCAACGCCCGGGGGGGGUGGCGGGCUUUGGGUUUUAAAACCCUUUUCCCUGGGACGGAGGGGGGGGGACGGGAAUUGGUAAAAAAGCCCCCGCCAACCUCCUG
This 467-nucleotide ribosomal RNA is filed under the name uncultured bacterium. Its description in RNAcentral is "partial 16S ribosomal RNA". It matches the Rfam family "Bacterial small subunit ribosomal RNA", at positions 29 to 507 of the family's 1533-position model. The record is from RNAcentral.